RNAcentral lists this ribosomal RNA (252 nucleotides) under uncultured bacterium. RNAcentral's name for it is "partial 16S ribosomal RNA". It matches the Rfam family "Bacterial small subunit ribosomal RNA", at positions 524 to 776 of the family's 1533-position model. The record is from RNAcentral.
UACGUAGGGGGCAAGCGUUAUCCGGAUUUAUUGGGUUUAAAGGGUGCGUAGGCGGGCAUUUAAGCCGGCGGUCAAAUGUCGGGGCUCAACCCCGGCCUGCCGUCGGAACUGGGUGCCUUGAGUGGGCGAGAAGUAUGCGGAAUGCGUGGUGUAGCGGUGAAAUGCAUAGAUAUCACGCAGAACCCCGAUUGCGAAGGCAGCAUACCGGCGCCCUACUGACGCUGAGGCACGAAAGUGCGGGUAUCGAACAGG